This 76-nucleotide transfer RNA is filed under the name Candidatus Magnetovum chiemense. RNAcentral's name for it is "Candidatus Magnetoovum chiemensis tRNA-Ala". The record is from RNAcentral. Lineage: Bacteria; Pseudomonadati; Nitrospirota; Nitrospiria; Nitrospirales; Nitrospiraceae.
UGCAACUUAGUAUCAGUUGGGAGAGUGCUUGAAUGGCAUUCAAGAGGUGGUCGGUUCGAUCCCGAUCAGCUUCACC